Molecule: ribosomal RNA, 861 nt
Filed under: uncultured Bacteroidota bacterium
Lineage: Bacteria; Pseudomonadati; Bacteroidota
Description: bacterial SSU rRNA
Rfam family: Bacterial small subunit ribosomal RNA
Source: RNAcentral
AGGGUUUGAUCAUGGCUCAGGAUGAACGCUAGCUACAGGCUUAACACAUGCAAGUCGAGGGGAAACGACAUCGAAAGCUUGCUUUUGAUGGGCGUCGACCGGCGCACGGGUGAGUAACGCGUAUCCAACCUGCCCACCACUUGGGAAUAACCUUGCGAAAGUAAGACUAAUACCCAAUGACGUCCAUAGAAGACAUCUGAAAUGGAUUAAAGAUUCAUCGGUGAUGGAUGGGGAUGCGUCUGAUUAGCUUGUUGGCGGGGUAACGGCCCACCAAGGCGGCGAUCAGUAGGGGUUCUGAGAGGAAGGUCCCCCACAUUGGAACUGAGACACGGUCCAAACUCCUACGGGAGGCAGCAGUGAGGAAUAUUGGUCAAUGGGCGAGAGCCUGAACCAGCCAAGUAGCGUGCAGGAUGACGGCCCUAUGGGUUGUAAACUGCUUUUAUAAGGGAAUAAAGUGAGCCUCGUGAGGCUUUUUGCAUGUACCUUAUGAAUAAGGACCGGCUAAUUCCGUGCCAGCAGCCGCGGUAAUACGGAAGGUCCGGGCGUUAUCCGGAUUUAUUGGGUUUAAAGGGAGCGUAGGCCGGAGAUUAAGCGUGUUGUGAAAUGUAGAUGCUCAACAUCUGCGCUGCAGCGCGAACUGGUUUCCUUGAGUACGCACAAAGUGGGCGGAAUUCGUGGUGUAGCGGUGAAAUGCUUAGAUAUCACGAAGAACUCCGAUUGCGAAGGCAGCUCACUGGAGCGCAACUGACGCUGAAGCUCGAAAGUGCGGGUAUCGAACAGGAUUAGAUACCCUGGUAGUCCGCACGGUAAACGAUGGAUGCCCGCUGUUGGUCUGAAUAGGUCAGCGGCCAAGCGAAAGCA